Molecule: transfer RNA, 70 nt
Filed under: Pheidole nodus
Lineage: Eukaryota; Metazoa; Arthropoda; Insecta; Hymenoptera; Formicidae
Description: tRNA-Asn
Source: RNAcentral
UUAAUUAAAACCAAAACAGAGGUAAAUUAUUGUUAAUAAUUUUAUUGAAUUAAUAUAAAUUCUAAUUAAU